UACGUAGGGUGCGAGCGUUAAUCGGAAUUACUGGGCGUAAAGCGUGCGCAGGCGGUUGUGCAAGACAGAUGUGAAAUCCCCGGGCUUUAACCUGGGGAAUUGCAUUUGUGACUGCACGGCUAGAGUGUGUCAGAGGGGGGGUAGAAUUCCACGUGUAGCAGUGAAAUGCGUAGAUAUGUGGAGGAAUACCGAUGGCGAAGGCAGCCCCC
This 209-nucleotide ribosomal RNA is filed under the name uncultured bacterium. RNAcentral describes it as "partial 16S ribosomal RNA". It matches the Rfam family "Bacterial small subunit ribosomal RNA", at positions 524 to 729 of the family's 1533-position model. The record is from RNAcentral.